This is a long non-coding RNA of Melopsittacus undulatus (budgerigar), 2479 nucleotides long. RefSeq lists it as uncharacterized. The transcript has 3 exons. The record is from RefSeq and is a predicted model, not a curated record. NCBI's taxonomy places the organism in Eukaryota, Metazoa, Chordata, Aves, Psittaciformes, Psittaculidae.
AUUCCUGUAGGAGGAGUCCUCUUCAGCCACCCAUUCACUCCCAGAACUGGAUGGCUCAGGCACAUUUUAGGAAUGUAUUUAUUUUUCCACCCUGGAUGAAGAGGAAACCACUGUGGAUGUUAACCAGAAACAUUUGCUCCCUGGUCUAUUACCUGUGACUUUUGGGUUGCCAGUGGUUGUGGCAGGCCAGCUCUAGCCUUAUGUCCUCCCAUCUACAGAUAAAAGGAAGGUUCAUACAAGAACUCUUGUGCCAUUACUGGCUGAACAGCACCUUUAAGAGUCCUCUGAAGCCUGGAAAGCAGGUCACUGGGUGCUGCUGACAAAGCCGGCAUGAUUUCCAGAUAAUGACUGCUUUGAAGAAGAUAAGUUUUGCUUUGGAAUUGUAGAAGACAUACAGAUAAAGGAUACAGACCAACUUGAGUGCAAUCUACCUUUAACAGAUGACAGCAGGAUUUCAUGAACGAUUUCUGUCUCAAGGCGACUGCCCCUUCUCCAGAACCAGCAAGUGGCAAUAGCAUUUUAAAGGAAGGAUGUCAGAGAGCAGCUUGCUUUUCUCACUUGUCAUCGUUAUUUGUUUCUCUCCUGGCCGAACCACCAGAAGCAGGUUAAGGAUGACACAAACGAGCAACAAAUCACAGGGUGGAGGACAGAGCAUGUGACAAUGCCCUGGCUGUGGUGCAAACAUUUGAGCUACGUUUCGAAAGCCUGGAUUUGUGUUUAGUAGAGUUCAUGAGUGAAAAAUAAGAGUCUUUGACGAUAACAAUCAACAAGCUCAAUCUCAUUAGCAUCUACCCUUCAGAGAAGAGGCUGGAGCGGAUCCCAUCAAGCUGUGAUUUGGUUCAGUGCACUAGGGAAGGUUCCUAGAAGCAUUCCCCCAGCUUCUUCACACUGUGCACUGAGGGGAAAAAAACAACAUUUGGCAAUUUGUUGUCAAUAUUUGUAUAACUCCUGAUGCCACUAAAACUGCAUAUGUAGGCUUUAAACUAACAAAAACAAAGCCAUGGCCAAGCUGGAGAGCUGGAUUUGUUUCCAUGCGCAAUUAGGUUUAUUUGUUUAGGUCUCAUUUUAUUUGCUUUCAGAUGACUCAGAUAGGAGUAUUGCAAUCCUUUCAAAGUGAAGUAGUGUUCUGUGUAUUUUGGGCAUUGGGCUAAGCCAAAUGUGGAAAAAAUUGGCUGCUCAAUAGUAUUUUCCUAUCCAGAGGUUUUUCAAACUUUUGAGAGGAACUGAAGGAAUGUACCUUCCAUGCCAGGACUCCCCCCUGUCCCCCACCCCCUUCACAGCGUCUCUCCACAUUAUUGUAAAAGAGCACAGGAAUUUUAAAACACUCCUCUGUUGUGCAACUGUUAGCAACUGCUCUUAUUAAUUACCUUACUAUUAUGCUGCAUGCUUAAAUUCUCACUGGUGUCAUCCAUAGCGUGCUGUUGAGAGUGCCUUUUAACCCAUUUAAAUAAGAAUAUGUGGAUGGUGCACUGCUCAGAAUCUCCCAUCCUGCUAGACCAGCUCUGGGGUUGCUGAAAAUUAUUUCCUUUAUACAUGAAGGAUAUUUACGUUUUGGCAAGUAGCCACGUUUUCUGCUGGGAGUUAGUCACUAACGACAGCUUAUUUUCCAGUGGAAAUGCUUGCACGCUAUCGGUGUUAAGAGAAUUGUCUCAAGUCUCAGUGCCAUGGUGAUCCUUUAUCCUCCACCUUCAACCUGCAAAAAACAAAACAAAACAGGGUUUUUUCUUGUCUCUUCUUCUGUCUUAUAUGACUAGGAGCCAGUGGCUUUUAAUUAGUGCCUUAGGCACCACUGUGUUUUGGGGGGCACUUUUUUGUUGUCUUUGUUUUCUUCUUCUGAUCAUUUUGCUUCUAGAAAUGCCUUCUUGUGUGAUGUUUCAGAAAAUGUAGACAGGAAGAAUAAAUCUACAUUUAUUCUUAUUUCCAUGAAAUAAAAAGGUUAAAGGAUUUUCUGCACUCACCAGAAGUAUGAGUCUGAUUUAUGGCCUUCUUCCCACUCACACUCAUAAAAGAAAUAGAGUAACAAAGGCUAAUAGACAAUCUAUUUUAAAGUUUGUCCUGAUAAAACCAAACUGGAACUUUAUUCAGUCUUAAAUGUCAAUUCUAAAAUUUGGAAUGUUUUUCUAAUCAAGAACAAUAAAUGUGGAAAGUGUCUUUGUGGAAUGGAGCUGCUGCUCAGCACACUGCUGGCCCAAUGCUGCACACACACUUCAGGGGCAGAUGGAGUCUGCACAUCACGUAGUCCUCCCUGUGCAAUAGCUUGCUCUGGAGACUGCUUGGCCCCAGGAGGGACUGGGCAAUGCUUAGGAUAUGUUAUUUGUUGUUUUAUUUUACUUUUAAGAGGACAGGAACCCAAAAUAUACCUAUGAAAAAUGACCAAAUUGAGAUGGGAUGUAAAUCUUCAAAUACAGUAAAGAAAAAAAAAAGCUAUAAAUUUCCAAGCCUGUGCUAAAAACUGGAAGUAAUAAGGUUGGAAAAUAGA